Molecule: long non-coding RNA, 1861 nt
Filed under: Mus musculus (house mouse)
Lineage: Eukaryota; Metazoa; Chordata; Mammalia; Rodentia; Muridae
Description: long non-coding RNA chr10:18060723-18062584
Source: RNAcentral
UAUAGUGAUUAAUUAUCGAUUUUUCCAUCUGCUGAAGAUUUUCCGUGUUAUAGCUUUAAGAUUAACUUUUACAGAAGCAAUUUAUUUUUCAAAUAAGAAAAGUAUAUAUAUUAUUUACCACGUUAAUCAGUAUAUCUUCUUAGCUUUCACUUUUAAAAAAAAAAAAAAAACCUCUUCUUUAUCUGGGAAAUGUCAAAACUUACACAGACUUGAAUGUGUGAUUUUGUGAUAGAAGCUUUUAGUACUGACUGUCCUUUUAUUGAAGUUUGCCAGCAGUGUGCACUUUUGCCGAAGCUGAAAAGCCUUAGAUCAAUGUGUUGAGCAAUAGCUGGUAGAAUAUUUUAAUAACAUACAUAAACUUAAUGGAAGGAGAGCAACACAAUGAAAUAUAAACCAGUUUUUCUCUUGAAACUUGCUUGAGUUAGUUACAAAAUCUGUUGACUAGUAAAAUGCCUGGUGGAACUAUAGCCUUAUUUAUGCAUUGGAUAUUAGAACUAUAACCUUAUUUAUGCAUCAGAUAUUAGAAACUUAAUAAAAUUUCAGUUUGAUACUCUCAAAUUAUGGGAUUUUUAUUUUUGUAAUUUCUAAAUUACUAUCUAAACAACAAAAUACACACUUGAGUUAAUUAGACAUUUUUCAUGCACUGUUUAUGAAGGAAAUCACCUCUUCAUACAAUGAGUGUCAUGCUUACUCUGGAAAUUCAUGUCAUGCUAGUUGGCACCCUGCCUUCCUUCAUGCCCAGCAUUUUAAUGUUUGAGAACUUACUGCAAGCAUUGUGAUAGAGUAGAAAAGAACCUAAGACGCACUAAAGGGAGGCCAGCCUCAGCCAGUUUUGUGACCUUGACAGUCAGGUCACCUGAAUCACCACACAGCCUAUGGUGUGAAAUACUGAAGAGACAUCCUCCUCGAAUCACUUUUAGAUAGUAUUUCCUUGUGGCCACUAUCCACCUCCAUGGCUCCAUGUAGUGGUGAAAGAUCAGCUGUUGUCUCUGCCACAGUGUGUUGCCUCUGUGGUAAGAUUGAAAGGAACUGUGUGUACACAGAGGACCAUUGGUAAGAAGGCAGUGAGUGGGAGCCUAUCUCAGCGGAGGCGUGGGCUGACAGUGAUGGGGGCACAGUGAGGCUGCAUAUCAAGGGAACUGUGAAAUUUAUAUGUAUUUAUACGUAUAUGUGUAUAUAUAUUUAUCUCUCUCUCACAUAUAUUUAUCUCUUUCUCUCUCUCUCUCUCUCUCUCUCUCUCUCUCUCUCUCACACACACACACACACACACACACACACACGGUUCUGUGUUCAUGCACACUGGAGGAAGGACUCAAAUUUUAUUACAGAUGGUUGUGAGCCACCAUGUGGUUGAACUCAUCACAUCUGGAAGAACAGAGGAACAGCCAGAGUGGUCUUAACUGCUGAGCCAUCUCUUUAGUGCCCCCCCCCCCCCCCAUAACUUUUUAAGUAAAGAGAGUACUGGGGAAGGCGAGCAGAUUGGUUGGGAGAUAUACAGGAGCCCGCAUGGGAAACAGCAGUGGCUUAGAUUUGAGAGAGACCGCCGGGUGAGAGGAGAGGUGAGAGUUUAGGGAGCCAUGGUACUGAGUUUGAUACAGAAUUGGAGAGAGGAUAGAGAGUGUAAGGGUAUUGUUGGUGUUGCCAUCGUUGGAUGAGUUGGAAGGAGUGGGUUUUACGGGGGACUAUUAUAGUAAAAGAGUAAUGAUGAAUUUACAAGUUCUCUUUUGUUCAUUUUAAAUUACGAAGGCUGUGUUCUGAACUUUACCAUUAGAGGAGCCACACAUCUUGAAGAAAUAUUUAUAUCUUAGAGGAAGAGUUGAAGAUUUUUAGACUGUUGGCAAAUUGAAAACAGUAACUGAUG